UGACAAAAGGCGUUUUGUAAUUAUAAUUUCAUUUCCACAUUUCUAAAAUUCUAUUUCGCUGCUUUUCCAAGGCUGCUUCCUCCAUCAAUGCCAGACAUAUCAAUUGUCGUUAUUUGUUAGUGUCGCUCCCAAUAGACACCCAAAAACAGACACCCAUCUUGGGAAAAUUGGUGAAUGUCUGGAAGAUGCCCCUGAAUGUCUGUGGAAAGUGCUUUGAAAAAUUGCUUAAUGCGCUCCGAGCAUGAGUUACCCCAGCCCGGGAAAUAAAAGCACGAAAGAAAUUGGCUAAAAGCUUUUGCUGAUGCGUGUAAACUUUGGCAUUUGUGCAAAAUUGAACAGACUCGCUGGAAAUGAAGAGGAAAAUGUGAAAAGGGGAAGAGAGUACGAACAAACCUUGGACUCAAUUUGGGGGAAAUACAGCUUCGCGGAUUUUAUGAUAUUUUUACUACCCUUAAAGUGGGGAGAAAUGCAUCAUGAGGCUGACUUGCAAAAUUAGGGAAAUAAAUGAUUGUUCUAAACAUUUAAA
Long non-coding RNA from Drosophila yakuba, 526 nucleotides. RefSeq lists it as uncharacterized. NCBI's taxonomy places the organism in Eukaryota, Metazoa, Arthropoda, Insecta, Diptera, Drosophilidae. The transcript is spliced from 2 exons. The record is from RefSeq and is a predicted model, not a curated record.